Molecule: ribosomal RNA, 381 nt
Filed under: uncultured eukaryote
Lineage: Eukaryota
Description: partial 18S ribosomal RNA
Rfam family: Eukaryotic small subunit ribosomal RNA
Source: RNAcentral
CAAUAGCGUAUAUUAAAGCUGUUGCGGUUAAAAAGCUCGUAGUUGGAUUUCUGUCAAGGACAACUGGUCCGCCCUCCGGGUGAGCACAUAGUUUGGUCUUGGCAUCUUGCUGGCAACUGUUGCUGCGCUUGGUUGUGUGGUGCAGCUUUCAGCACUUUCACUUUGAGGAAAUUGGAGUGUUUCAAGCAGGCACAUGCCUUUGGACACAGUAGCAUGGAAUAAUUAGAUUGGGCUUUUGCUCCAACUUGUUGGUUCCUGGAGCUGAGGUGAGAAUCAAUGGGGAUUGUUGGGGGCAUCCGAAUUUAGCCGUCAGAGGUGAAAUUCUUGGAUCUGCUAAAGACGGACAACUGCGAAAGCGUUUGCCCAGGAUGUUUUCAUUGA